RNAcentral lists this ribosomal RNA (244 nucleotides) under uncultured bacterium. RNAcentral describes it as "partial 16S ribosomal RNA". It matches the Rfam family "Bacterial small subunit ribosomal RNA", at positions 524 to 765 of the family's 1533-position model. The record is from RNAcentral.
UACGAAGGGGGCUAGCGUUGUUCGGAAUUACUGGGCGUAAAGCGCACGUAGGCGGAUUUGUAAGUCAGGGGUGAAAUCCCGGGGGCUCAACCUCGGAACUGCCUUUGAUACUGCAAGUCUCGAGUCCAUAGGAGGUGAGUGGAACUGCGAGUGUAGAGGUGAAAUUCGUAGAUAUUCGCAAGAACACCAGUGGCGAAGGGCGGCUCACUGGCCCGAUACUGACGCUGAGGCACGAAAGCGUGGG